GAUGAAGAACGUAGUGAAAUGCGAAAAGUAGUGUGAAUUGCAGAAUUCAGUGAAUCAUCGAAUCUUUGAACGCACAUUGCGCCCGCCAGCAUUCUGGCGGGCAUGCCUGUUCGAGCGUCAUUUCAACCCUCGCAGCCCAUCUGGGCAGCGGUGUUGGGGACCGGCACCACCGGCGAAGCCCUUAGGGGCCCAGCCGGCGCCGCCCCCGAAAUACAGUGGCGGUCUCGCUGCAGCCUCCCUUGCGUAGUAGCACACCUCGCACCGGAGCGCAGCGCGGCCACGCCGUAAAACCCCCGACUUUCUGAGUUUGACCUCGAAUCAGGUAGGAAUACCCGCUGAACUUAAGCAUAUCAAUAAGCGGAGGA
Molecule: unclassified non-coding RNA, 365 nt
Filed under: soil metagenome
Description: partial contains 5.8S ribosomal RNA, internal transcribed spacer 2, and large subunit ribosomal RNA
Rfam family: 5.8S ribosomal RNA (bases 1-120)
Source: RNAcentral